This 497-nucleotide ribosomal RNA is filed under the name uncultured bacterium. RNAcentral's name for it is "partial 16S ribosomal RNA". It matches the Rfam family "Bacterial small subunit ribosomal RNA", at positions 28 to 507 of the family's 1533-position model. The record is from RNAcentral.
GAUGAACGCUGGCGGCGUGCCUAAUACAUGCAAGUCGAGCGAACAGAUGAGGAGCUUGCUCCUCUGACGUUAGCGGCGGACGGGUGAGUAACACGUGGAUAACCUACCUAUCAGACUGGGAUAACUUCGGGACACCGGAGCUAAUACCGUAUAAUAUAUUGAACCGCAUGGUUCAAUAGUGAAAGACGGUUUUGCUGUCACUUAUAGAUGGAUCCGCGCCGCAUUAGCUAGUUGGUAAGGUCACGGCUUACCAAGGCAACGAUGCGUAGACGACCUGAGAGAGUGAUCGGCCACACUGGAACGGAGACACGGUCCAGACUCCUACGGGAGGCAGCAGUAGGGAAUCUUCCGCAAUGGGCGAAAGCCUGACGGAGCAACGCCGCGUGAGUGAUGAAGGUCUUCGGAUCGUAAAACUCUGUUAUUAGGGAAGAACAAAUGUGUAAGUAACAAUGCACGUCUUGACGGUACCUAAUCAGAAAGCCACGGCUAACUACGUG